UGGAGGCACUCUACUGGCCUACUUACUGUUCCCCACACAUAAAGAUACAUAAUCCAUCCCCUUGACUUUGUGUUGACUUUCUCCCAUGCCUGAAAAGUUCCCUCUCUGCAGCUCUACCUCUGUUUGGCUUCCUUUAAAUUUCAGCUCCAGCAUCACCUUCUGCAGAAAGUCUUCCCACUUUCCCCUUGGGCUAGAGUCUCCCCCUCAAAGACUUUCCUCAAACUACUCCAUAGACAUCUUGGAUGGAUCUGUUUCUCUCCUAUCAGAAGCUCUUUCUUGUAUGGCCUUGUCUCCAAACCAGUCUCCAUCAUGUCUACCCUUCUCUGGAUGUACUCAACUGAAUGUACCAUCUACUGUUGUGUACUACCUGUUGAGAGCAUUUAGAGCAUUGAUUCUGCCAUCUUUCAUUUCAAUCAUCUCUCCCAGGUUGGUAUCAUUUGUGAACUUAUCAAACAUGAUGUUUAUGUUUUUAUUCCAGUCAUUGAUGAAAAUAUUGUAUUUGAACAGGGUCAAGAACAGAAUCCUAGGGCACAAAAAU
This 538-nucleotide long non-coding RNA is filed under the name Monodelphis domestica (gray short-tailed opossum). RNAcentral describes it as "lncRNA (ENSMODG00000032540.2)". The record is from RNAcentral. Lineage: Eukaryota; Metazoa; Chordata; Mammalia; Didelphimorphia; Didelphidae.